Molecule: ribosomal RNA, 326 nt
Filed under: uncultured bacterium
Lineage: Bacteria
Description: bacterial SSU rRNA
Rfam family: Bacterial small subunit ribosomal RNA
Source: RNAcentral
GAUGAACGCUGGCGGCGUGCCUAACACAUGCAAGUCGAGCGAAGCGCCUUACUUGAUUUCUUCGGGAUGAAAGUAUUGUGACUGAGCGGCGACGGGUGAAGGUACGCGUAGUAGUAACCUGCCUCAUACAGGGGGAUAACAGUUAGAAAUGACUGCUAAUACCGCAUAAGACCACAGCACCGCAUGGUGCAGGGGUAAAAACUCCGGUGGUAUGAGAUGGAUCCGCGUCUGAUUAGCUAGUUGGUAAGGUAACGGCUUACCAAGGCAACGAUCAGUAGCCGACCUGAGAGGGUGACCGGCCACAUUGGGACUGAGACACGGCCCAA